This is a long non-coding RNA of Anopheles funestus (African malaria mosquito), 726 nucleotides long. RefSeq lists it as uncharacterized. The transcript has 3 exons. NCBI's taxonomy places the organism in Eukaryota, Metazoa, Arthropoda, Insecta, Diptera, Culicidae. The record is from RefSeq and is a predicted model, not a curated record.
UACACCUUGUCAUCUUGGCCCGACUUGACAGCAUUGAUUGACAGUGUCGUUUCGACAAAUUCUCGCGUUCGCAAAAAGAAGCGAAAGAUAAAAGCAAAAAUAGUGCACGGUAUUGUUGUGUUGUUACCCUAAAUUGUGUGAAAUUAUCCUACGCGGCCUUCAACCUAUCCCGAUAAACAUCGCUAACCUUGUGGAACAGUUGUGCUGGCCGGAGAGCAUUAGGCCCAGAACUCAUCCCAUCUUUUCUCCACACGGAACACUCAAGGUUGAUUAUUGGUGGCAGACACAAGUAAUCAAGGCCACAGACGAACGUAUCUGCGCACAAGUGCGCACAGUGAAAUAAAACAAAAAAACCCGGAAGACGGAAGUGGUGUGUGCAUCUUCGCAAGAUUGUCUGCUUGUUCCGGAGCAGUCCAGCAUCAGGAUAAGUUCCGAACUAUACGCACACGACGUCAUGGACGCGGGCGACAGAGGUGAGUGUUGGUUGGCUGUAUUCCAUAACAAUCUUAGAUGUAUUUUAAUGGAUUAAAUGGUGAGCAAUUAAUGUAAUUAAAGAGAGGUUAAGGACAACCAUCAAUGUCUUUUGCACCUUUAUUCUUUAGCUUCAAUCAAAUAUAAAAUUAAAAUGCAAGAAUUCAUUUAAGAUGUUUAAAUUUCCCCCUUAAAAUCUUGACUGAAGCCUAUGAGAACCAGUCGAAAUUGGAAAAACAGUACGAAACUGGAAAA